UGCAACGUCGAGCGGUAACAGAUCUAGCUUGCUGGAUGCUGACGAGCGGCGGACGGGUGAGUAAUGCAUAGGAAUCUGCCCGAUAGUGGGGGAUAACCUGGGGAAACCCAGGCUAAUACCGCAUACGUCCUACGGGAGAAAGGGGGCUUCGGCUCCCGCUAUGGGAUGAGCCUAUGUCGGAUUAGCUAGUUGGUGAGGUAACGGCUCACCAAGGUCACGAUCCGUAGCUGGUCUGAGAGGAUGAUCAGCCACAUCGGGACUGAGACACGGCCCGAACUCCUACGGGAGGCAGCAGUGGGGAAUAUUGGACAAUGGGGGCAACCCUGAUCCAGCCAUGCCGCGUGUGUGAAGAAGGCCCUCGGGUUGUAAAGCACAUUCAGCGAGGAAGAACGCCUAGCGGUUAAUACCCGCUAGGAAAGACAUCACUCGCAGAAGAAGCACCGGCUAACUCCGUGCCAGCAGCCGCGGUAAUACGGAGGGUGCAAGCGUUAUUCGGAAUUAUUGGGCGUAAAGGGCGCGUAGGCGGUCUUUUCAGUCAGAUGUGAAAGCCCGGGGCUUAACCCCGGAAGUGCAUUUGAAACUAAAGGACUUGAGUAUGGGAGAGGGAAGUG
RNAcentral lists this ribosomal RNA (611 nucleotides) under uncultured bacterium. RNAcentral describes it as "bacterial SSU rRNA". It matches the Rfam family "Bacterial small subunit ribosomal RNA", at positions 56 to 663 of the family's 1533-position model. The record is from RNAcentral.